CAACGCACUUGGCCUUUUAGGUUAGGCAAGCUACUUAUCGGACACAAGCUGAAAGAAUUUCUGUGUAGGGUUAAUAACGUAAGUAGCUAUCGAAAAUGGUUGUAUAUGUACUUGGUACCCAUCUAGAAUGGAUUUGAAGUAGAUUUUCUUUUUUUUGGUCAAAGAUUUGAAGUAGAUUAAAAGGCAUAUUGUUCAACCCAGACUUAAACCAUCUCUUCCAAGGAAGGAGAAACAAUUAUUCUGGUACAGGCCCUAAGCAGAGGUGCUACCACCCAUUGCCAUUUUCAUUAGGUCAAACUGCAACAAGAGAUGGUGGAGCUUACAAGUCGGCAAUGUAUAUGCAUGAGCAACCCCAUGCUCAUCUGUAGCCUUUUCGCUGAAAAUCCAAAGUCGUCGAGUACUUAUUGCGGACGAGUAAUUGCCUUUAGUCAACACGUGAAGUGCUGCUCUAAAUCCAAAUUGGCUCCGAAAUACUUUUACAAUUUGGUGCAGGGCAAUUUCUUAGCAGAAAUAGAAAGCUCAAAGAACUUUAAUGCAAGAAAUCAUGGUUUGGACUUUGGAGUUCCAGAACCAAAGGAAAUAGGAAGAUACAUCUUCUUGAUGCAAGAAAUCAUGGUCACAUUUUUUAUGGCCUCCACUAUGGUGUUUCUGACUUCCCAUAUGCAGCUUGCUCGAUGAUGUUGGUGGGGAUAAUAUCUUCAGCAUUUUUGCUGUUUGCUCCUAGGAUGAUUGGUCUUCCUGGGGUUUGGUUGGGCUUGCCUCUCUUUCUGGGCUUGUGUACAGCAGCAGGCUAUUUCAGAUUAUCAGCAAAGACUGGUGCAUGGUGGUUCAUGCACAGAGAGAUGCAGAAAUUCGAAGUGACUGGCUAGUUGAGACGGGGAUAUUCUUCGGUUACGAGGUGCUUCGUGCUAUUGAUAUUCUGCUCCAGGAUCAGGCUUCAUGCUAUUGACAUUCCGAUCCAGCAUAUAUGUUACAAAGUAUAGCUUUCCUAUUUUGGCGCAAAGGCGUACUCCUGUGCCUGUGCCAACUUUUGAGUCUCCAUUAGGGACGAUAGAUGAAAUCGAGAAACUACUUC
This is a long non-coding RNA of Syzygium oleosum, 1075 nucleotides long. RefSeq lists it as uncharacterized. NCBI's taxonomy places the organism in Eukaryota, Viridiplantae, Streptophyta, Magnoliopsida, Myrtales, Myrtaceae. The record is from RefSeq and is a predicted model, not a curated record. The transcript has 4 exons.